Ictalurus punctatus (channel catfish) is the source of this 499-nucleotide long non-coding RNA. The record is from Ensembl. NCBI's taxonomy places the organism in Eukaryota, Metazoa, Chordata, Actinopteri, Siluriformes, Ictaluridae.
CACAAGUGGUUCUAAUCAAAACAACGCAUUUUCAAAACUCUUUACAAAUGCCGUUGGGUUAAACAGUGCGAUAUGUUUUUAUCUAAUGUAAAGGUUAUUCCUGCUCCGGUAAAUGUCUGUGUAUCUUUUAUAGUUCGCUUCAUACCGAUUGUUUAAACUGUAACGGUUUAAAUAUAAUUUGUUAACAUUAGUUGGUAGCUGCUACAGACAGGAGACCUGUCCAUGAGAUGAGUGACAGGAGCGGAUCAUGUGCAAGGCCACAGUUCUAGCUGUGAUGAAGAUGGAGGGAAAGUUUAAGUCAAAAGGAUUUGGGACAGUUUGAUGUCUACAAAUGGUUUUCUGUUGGACCCCUGGCACAGCACUCCUGUGAAAAAGUCAUCGGUCUUUCGCUCUGCACAACAAAGGGCAAACACAGCCUGCGUGUUAACACAGGCUUCAGGGUGAAACUUUUUCACGAGCGUCCUCCGGUUUGCUUGUUGUCCAGAAAAGCUGAAAAGAC